Molecule: ribosomal RNA, 305 nt
Filed under: uncultured bacterium
Lineage: Bacteria
Description: bacterial SSU rRNA
Rfam family: Bacterial small subunit ribosomal RNA
Source: RNAcentral
CCUACGGGGGGCAGCAGUGGGGAAUAUUGCACAAUGGGGGAAACCCUGAUGCAGCGACGCCGCGUGAGUGAAGAAGCGUUUCGGCGCGUAAAGCUCUGUCAGCGGGGAAGAAACACGGUUCGCGAGAGCCGCGGACGGUACCCGACCAAGAAGCCCCGGCUAACUACGUGCCAGCAGCCGCGGUAAUACGUAGGGGGCAAGCGUUAUCCGGAUUUACUGGGUGUAAAGGGAGCGUAGGCGGCAAGGUAAGCCAGAAGUGAAAGCCCGCGGCUCAACUGCGGGACUGCUUUUGGAACUAUCUAGCU